CGUGCUCCAGGCAGUACAGCUCCCAGCAGGCGUUGCCGAUCUGCACGCCCGCUUGGCCCACGUGGAUGGAGAUGCACUCGCGCUGCGGGGACAGGACACGCGCCCGCGUCACCCCCGCGCUGCCCCCUCGCUGUCCCCGUCCCCCCCCAGCAGCUAGGAAGGGCCCAUCGCCAGGGCUGGAUGCGGCCACCUCAUCCCAGGGGCCCGAUCCUGCGCAGACGCGCUCUAUUGUUCUGGCUCCAGGGGCGUGCCCAGUUGGGGGGGAGGGGUGCUCAGCUCUGGGGGUCUCAUCCUGCCCCCCCCCCCCCCCCCCCCCCCCCCCCCCCCCCCCCCCCCCCCCCCCCCCCCCCCCCCCCCCCCCCCCCCCCCCCCCCCCCCCCCCCCCCCCCCCCCCCCCCCCCCCCCCCCCCCCCCCCCCCCCCCCCCCCCCNGGGGGGGGGGGGGGGCUCAGCACCGGGGGCUCAUCCUGCCCACUGGGGUCCCCACUGAACCAGGGCCACACCCAGUGCGGGAUAUGGAGGGGGGGCGGUAGGGAAGGGCCUCAUCCUGCCCCGCCUUGUCGUCUGGUGCGGGACGCGGUGCUCAGCACGGGGGGGGCCCCAUCCUGCCCCGUUAAACCGGGACUACGCCCAGUGCAGGGUGAGGGCUCAGCACCGGGGGGGUGGCAGGGGGGUGUCUGUCUGUCCCGGUUUAACGGGAGCCACGCCCAGUGCGGGACGGCGGCUCAGUACUGGGAAUGGGGGGCCCGAUCCUGCCGCGUCAAACCGGAGCCACGCCCAGGACUGGCUCAGGGAUUAGCACCGGGGACUCAUCCUGACCGGUUGAACGGGAGCCACCCCCGGUGCGGGCUGGGAAAUCAGCCCCGGGGAUCCCAUCCUGCCCGGUUUAACGGGAGCCACGCCCGGUGCGGGCUCAGGGCUCAGCCCCCAGAGAUCCCAUCCUGCCCGCUUUAACGAGAGCCACGCCCGGUGCGGGCUCGGGGCUCAGCCCCCGGGGAUCCCAUCCUGCCUGGUUUAACGGGAGCCACGCCCGGUGCGGGGUCGGUGCUCAGUCCCCGGGGAUCCCAUCCUGCCCGGUUUAACGGGAGCCACGCCCGGUGCGGGCUCGGUGCUCAGCCCCCGGGGAUCCCAUCCNGGGGGGGGGGGGGGGGGGGGUACGGGACCGAGGGUAACGGCGGGACCACAGGGAUGGGGACCGGGAACAACGGCGGGACCGGGGCCCCCCUCCCCGCGCCCCCCCUCACCAUGGCGGCGGUCGCUCCGGGGCGGUCUCACAGCCCGACGCUGAGGCGGUCGAUGUAAGAGGCGCGGCGGAGCGCGGGGCUCGGCGCGGG
This 1333-nucleotide long non-coding RNA is filed under the name Strix occidentalis caurina (northern spotted owl). RNAcentral's name for it is "lncRNA (ENSSOCG00000013622.1)". The record is from RNAcentral. Lineage: Eukaryota; Metazoa; Chordata; Aves; Strigiformes; Strigidae.